GAUCGUGCAGAUGAGUAACUACUGUGGC
RNAcentral lists this non-coding RNA (28 nucleotides) under Homo sapiens (human). Lineage: Eukaryota; Metazoa; Chordata; Mammalia; Primates; Hominidae. The record is from RNAcentral.